GCACAUUUUUAUCUGCUGACUGACUGGAAUAACGAGUCCGUCUCAUCGCCAAACUUCUCAACGAAAAAACGCUCCCAGAAUCACAGAUCAAGAGCUGGCUGCGUCCCACAGGCCCCACGGACUUGUGCGCUGCGAAAAUCAUUCCUCUUUUACUAUAACUUCAAGUCCAGCAAAUAAAAUAAUGACUCCAACGAAAUAACAUAACCCAAUGUGUAUCUACCAUAAAUUUACAGUGAAAACAAGUAAAUAUGCAUCUGGACACUUGAACAGUUUUGGGAAAAGUAAAAAAGAAGAAAUCCCAAGACAGUCAGGAGAAACUAUAUCCUUUACUCGUCUUGUGUAAUUCUUCUGGCGAGAAAAAAGUUCGAAAAUCGUUUUUUUUAUUCCCAAGCGAUUCUGAUUUUACUUGAAAGCUGAAGGAGUCAAGAAAAUUAAACCGAGUUGGGUGGUUUAGUUAAUUGGAAGGAAGUUUUAUGACUACCGCCUGUUUAUAUAACUGCUGGACUGGAUAUGGUCAUGAUGAUGGUCGGGGAAACAAUCUGGAUCAGGAUCAGAUGAUUUUGUAUUAUUCAUGCUACCGUACAUAUAAAUUUAACAAGGCCAAUUGCCUAAUAAUAACCCAGUACUCUAGCAAAACUGCUUGGUAAAUAAAAUAAACCCAACAAUGAUA
Long non-coding RNA from Folsomia candida, 670 nucleotides. RefSeq lists it as uncharacterized. The transcript is spliced from 3 exons. The record is from RefSeq and is a predicted model, not a curated record. NCBI's taxonomy places the organism in Eukaryota, Metazoa, Arthropoda, Collembola, Entomobryomorpha, Isotomidae.